Molecule: ribosomal RNA, 119 nt
Filed under: Danio rerio (zebrafish)
Lineage: Eukaryota; Metazoa; Chordata; Actinopteri; Cypriniformes; Danionidae
Source: RNAcentral
ACUUACGGCCAUACCACCCUGGAAAUGUCUGAUCUCAUCUGAACUCGGAAGUAAAGCAGGGUCGGGCCUGGUUAGUACUUGGAUGGGAGACUGCCUGGCAAUACCAGGUGCUGUAAGCU